RNA transcript from Mus musculus (house mouse), 4686 nucleotides. It is a transcript of the gene named Hspb associated protein 1, with no coding region annotated. The transcript has 9 exons. Lineage: Eukaryota; Metazoa; Chordata; Mammalia; Rodentia; Muridae. The record is from RefSeq and is marked validated.
GGCAGAGGCGGAGGAUCCUUCCUGUGUGGAAGCCGCAGAUCCCGGUGAGCCCUCUCACCUGGCGCUCUCUCCAUCCUCGGCGCGAUAACCAUGGCAGCAGGCUGCGAGGGCAUCGCGCCCCCGACCCUGGGCGAGAGAACUGUGGGGGAGGAAGGUGAACCUGUCAAACCUUUUACACCAGAGAAAGCGAAAGAGAUUAUAAUGUCUUUACAGCAGCCUGCAAUCUUCUGUAACAUGGUUUUCGAUUGGCCAUCACGACACUGGACUGCGAAACACCUUUCGAAGGUCUUGGAGGGCAAGCAGAUACGGUUCAGAAUGGGCCUGAGAGGCACAGGCACAGUUCCUCAGUAUGAAACCGAAUGUAGUUAUGUGGAUGCGACGCUCGAGGAGUUUUUGACCUGGAACUGUGACCAGUCUAGUAUCUCUGGACCAUUCAAAGAUUAUGAACAUUCUAAAUUCUGGGCUUACGCUGACUAUAAGUAUUUUGUUACUCUGUUUGAGGACAAGACAGAUGUUUUCCAGGAGGUGGUGUGGUCUGACUUUGGGUUUCCUGGAAGAAAUGGACAAGAAAGUACACUGUGGAUCGGGUCCUUUGGAGCCCACACUCCCUGCCAUCUGGACUCCUAUGGUUGCAACUUAGUAUUCCAGGUACAAGGAAGAGAACAGAGAAGUUUGUUGAAACACAGAGGCUUCACUGCGGCCCUUUGGAUGUUGACAGGUGCCAGGAAGCCUGGAUCAGGAAAAGAUGGCAUCUCUUUCCUCCUGAAGAUACGCCUUUCCUUUAUCCAACCAGAAUUCCUUACGAAGAGUCUAGUGUGUUCAGUAAAAUCAAUGUUGUCAACCCUGAUUUGAAGUGUUUCCCCCAGUUCCAGAAAGCUCGAAGACAUAUGGUCACGUUGAGCCCAGGACAGGUUCUGUUUGUUCCCAGACACUGGUGGCAUUACGUGGAGUCUCUUGAUCCUGUCACCGUCAGUAUAAACUCCUGGAUUGAGCUGGAAGAGGACCACCUAGCGCGGGUGGAGGAGGCCAUCACCCGCAUGCUCGUGUGUACACUGAAGACUGCAGAGGACCCGCACCACCCCAGGACCUGGCUGAACCCCACUGAGGUUGAGGAGACAUCUCACGAGGUCAACAGCUGCUACUUGAACAGUGCUGUUUGUGCCUUUUUUGAUCAUUGUGAAAAAGCUAAAGCAGUAGAGUUGCAAGUGCUGAGCGCAAACGGGGCGGAGCCACGUGUGCAGGAGGAGCACAUGGAAGUGGAGCAGGCCCAGGGCCCGAGCCUCACAUCGAGGGCUGAGAAACAGGAGGCCGUGAGCCUGUUUGGCCCAGAUCUGAUCCCUGUGACACCAGCAUCCGAAGAGAGAGGAGGCGCACUGGAAGGCGACAGCGAAGAAUCUGUCAGCAGUAAUGGAGGACACUUUGCAGAACUGCCCUGUGCCAGGAGACAGCAAACCAGCAAAGGGGCGAGCGCAUUGACGGAGCCCUUGGCCCCGAGGGGUCCUAUGGCGCAUUCUCGAGUCUUCGUGUCCACAGAUGACUUGCUGGACUGCCUAGUUAAUCCACAAGUAACCAGGAUGGUGGCCCAGCUUUUGAUACAAGGAAAAAGCUGUGAUACUUUCUAGUAACUUUUUAAUUACUUUUUAAUAACUUUUAAAAUAUAUUUUUAGAAAUAAUAUGAUAUACGUGUAUAUUUGCUUUUUAUGAUUUUUUACUUGCUCUUUGAAUAUGUCAUGUAUAUACUGUAUAUUUUGAUUACAUUCAUGCUGCACUGCACCUCCAGCCACUUCCAAAUCCCCUUUGUCCCAAAUUUUCUCUCUUUAUUUAUUUACUUUUUUUUCACAACCCAUUGAGUCCAGUUGCUGCUAGCCAGAUACAUAUAAUAUGGCUAUCCACUUAGCCCUGGUUAACCAGGGUUGUACCACUGAAGAAAACUCAACUUUCCUUCUGGACGCAGCCAUCAAUAGCUCCUUAGCUAGCGCUGGGAGCCCUUGUGUCCACAUUAGAAUAUUGACUGGCUUGCUCUUGCACAGGCGACCACACUAUAGCUGCAGAGUUCACAGGCAAACCGGUUCUGUCCUGUCCACUCCAAAAGCCAUUGCUUUGCCUCACCCCUCCCUGAUCUCUGACCUGUAAAAACUCCCAGCCCCUCUUUCUCCAGCUUCUUUUUCCUUUCCCUUGGUAGGGAACAGGGGGGGUUGAAACUGGAUCCAACUAUGUAGCUCUCUCUGGCUUUCCAGGAGCUCUCAGUAUAGACCAGGCUGGUCCUGAACUCUCAAGAGAUCCACCAGCCUCCACUUCCAGGGUGCUGGGAUCAAAGGCGUUCGCCACCUCCCUGUUUCUCCUGGCUCUGUGUUAGCCAGCAUUCACUGUACAAAGUGCUCCUUGGGUAAGGAAGGAUCAUCUAGAAAGGACCCAGAAGGCAGUUUGAUGUUUUGUUCAUUUAGCAAAACGAUAGGAGUAGGUUCACUUCCAGGCCUCACAAGCCAGGGGUCCUGGCUGGAUUGAGAGUUUGUUUUUACAGGGUCCCACUGUAUACCUUAGACUGGCCUUGAAUUCAAGAUCCUCUGGCCCGCCUCCCCAAGCGAUGGAUUACAGGUUUACACUACCAAGGUUGGUUCUCAAUAGUAUGAUUCUAAAAUAAAGGAUGGAACAGGAGGUGGUGAGUUUGUACAUGUUUAUAAAUGUGCUUUCCCCAAUAAAAUGCCACUGUGGUCACCUCUUUCCAGCACAUCGCUCAGUAGCCAAACUAGCUAGCUCACAUUUGGGUUGGUCUUGGUUUGUUAGGUAAGACUCGGCUGCAAAGCAGUCUGAAAGGCUGAGGUCCUCUGAAGUGGGGUAGAUGGGCAUGGCUACAGAAUGGCCCCAGCGUUCGUUCGGCAUCGCUUGAGCGUCCUGUUCAGACAAUUUUGGCAGGCUGCAGCGCUCUCCAUUGUUACAAACACUAAUCAAGUAAGACAGCUUUCCUCUGGUUUUAAAGGCACACAAGCAUUUACGUUUCAUUACUUUAUGAAGCUUCUCAGGAGGCACAGUUUCUCUGCAUACAUAGGGUUGUUACAGAAUGGACUCAGUGUCGACUGGGCUCAGAGAAGCUGGGACGGUCUUCUGCAGGAAGUCUUUCUUUCAUGAGAAGGAAGUAUCUUAUUGUCCUGUAGUCUUAGAGGUUCACUGCCUCGGUCUGCUAACCCAGGCCUACGCCUAGGCCUGGAAGCUUCUAGCCUCUGUACAAUCUAAUCUAAGCCUAGAACGUUUUCAGCCUCUGAGCCUUACUGCUGAAUAAGCUCACCCUUUCCUAGUUCUUUCUGGCUCAAACUCCUCUCCAGGCUGACUGAACCAAUCUAGCUUCUCUCAGUUUCUCCUGAGUUGCUCUGCUUGGCUUCAGAUUAACUCUGGCAAUCUGUUCUGAUCUUCUGGCUCCUUCUCAUUCUCUGGCUAGUUCUAUCUUCACCUAUGUCUAGCUUGUUCUCUCUCUGCAACCUGUCUAUACUACUGUCCUGGUAAACUGCCUCAUUCCCCUCUCUGCAUUGUCCCUUAAGUAGCUUCCCUUCCUCCUCUCUUCUCACAAGAGUUCGACAUAUUCUAUUCUGUCAAGUCUUUCUCUGAUUCAUCACUUUGCCACUCAAUUAGACAUCACUUUCAAACAUGGAUAGUUUCCUUCUACAAACUUAACUUUACCUACAUCGUUUGAGAUUAAAGGUAAGUACUAAGGACGUGUCUAUACACCAUCAAAAGGGAUUAAAAGCAUGUACAAAGGGUUGAACCACACCACAAAUAGAAACAGGCUUUUUUUUUUCCAGUUUAUAACUCAAAUCUCGAUGGGGGUUCGUUCAUGGUGUGAUUAAAUAUCCUGCAACAAUGUCUGUAAAAGUGGGUGGUAGGAGAUGAGUCCCUGAUUUUGUAGAGGGCAAUUACGAGGUCCUGGCUGAUUGCAAGGGCAUCCGAAUGGUAAGCACCGUGAAAACGCUCAUGAGCUGUUCCCACAUCACCCUGCAUCUCCAAGGACCACAUCUGAGUCAGGAAAAUCAACUGGUAAGUACUCUGGCUCUGCAUGGGCCGGCAGAGCUCAGACGCAUGCUUAGUAUCGUCCAAUACUGAAGGACAAGUCAGUAGUGCUCACAUACCCACGUGGUGUUCAGGAGGCAUGGUGGACUCCAUGAGAAUGUUUUAAUUUUUUUGUUUGUUUUAAUACAUCCAUGAAUGUAGCAGUAUAGUUGUAUAGUCUGGAUUUUUAAAAAAAUAUAUUUAUUUUUACUUAAUGUGUGAGAAUGUUUGCCUGCAUGAAUUGAUGUGUGCAGUUCCCUCACAGGUCAGAAGGGGGCAUUGGCUCCCUGGAUCUUUAGUUACGGAUGACCAUAAACUACCCUGUGGGUGAUAAGAACCAAACACGGGUCCUCUACAAGAACAGUGUUCUUAAACACUGAUAAGUAAGCACUCUGUCCAUCUCUCCUGUCCCUGAGUUUAGGUUUGGUUGGUUGGUUGGUUGUUUUUCAUUGUUAUCUUUUAUUAUUUUACAAUAUAUUUCAAAAACUGCCAUUAUAGUUGCCUUGAGUUCUCUGAGAGCCAUAGAACACCUAGAUACACAUAAACAUAGUCUGAUAUACCAACUGACCUGGACCAUCACUAAAAAAGGGGAGGGGGCUAUAUAUAGUUUUUAAAUAAAUGUGUGACAAUGCAAAAUAAAAACCUGUU